UUUUAGGUCAAAACCUCCUUGCCAAAGUUGGAUAAGCUAAGCAGGGCCGGGCUUGGUUAGCACUUGGAUGGGAGACCGCUGGGAAUUAUGGAUACAACAA
This 100-nucleotide ribosomal RNA is filed under the name Periophthalmus magnuspinnatus. Lineage: Eukaryota; Metazoa; Chordata; Actinopteri; Gobiiformes; Gobiidae. The record is from RNAcentral.